AGAAAGAAGGGGGUGGGGUCAAAGAUACUAGUUAGGGGCAUGGUUUAUGAAAAGAGAAAAGAGACAGAUUGAAAAUAUUCCUACAUGCAAGCCACAAGAGAAAGAGAAAGAGAAAGAGAUAGAGAUAGAGAUUGUAAAAAGCAUAAAUAUACAAGAGUAGUGGUAGUGGUGAGUUUGUUCUUCUUGAUAGAAAUAUAUAUAUUAAAAAAGAAGAAGAGUGAAUGUCAGCAAAGGCAAAGGAAGACAGAAGCAGUGAAACACGGACCUUCCCAAAAGCUCAUUUGGGUUUGGGAAUCACGAAAGUUGAUUUUGAUUUUAGAUGAUCACCCACUGCAACGUUUCCAUACUUGUACUACUCUACAGGAUGCAUGUGGGCCCUUCUUCAAAAGCUUACAUGCAUAUAUAUUUUUUCUUUUAUUUU
RNAcentral lists this long non-coding RNA (421 nucleotides) under Manihot esculenta (cassava). Its description in RNAcentral is "long non-coding RNA (MESC_LNC000827)". The record is from RNAcentral. Lineage: Eukaryota; Viridiplantae; Streptophyta; Magnoliopsida; Malpighiales; Euphorbiaceae.